UUUCCGUAGGUGAACCUGCGGAAGGAUCAUUAAUAAUAUUUAAAUCACCGUCUUUUUUCGAAUUAGUUCUACUCUUGAGCUCAAUGUUGUGCUUCUCUCCAGAGUAACACCUACACCAAUUUACAAAUUUAAAAUACUUAAUCUGAAUAACUAUUAUGAUCUCUUAAUUCAAAAUACAACUUUCAACAACGGUAAUCUUAGCUCUCGCUUCGACGAAGAAUGCAAAAGCACUGAAGAGCACACGUCAGUACUCCAGUCAAAAUUGACCACCUCGUAAGC
RNAcentral lists this unclassified non-coding RNA (279 nucleotides) under plant metagenome. RNAcentral describes it as "partial contains small subunit ribosomal RNA, internal transcribed spacer 1, and 5.8S ribosomal RNA". The record is from RNAcentral.